AACCUUAUGGACCUGCGGGCGUAUACCUGCGGAAGGAUCAUUAAAGAGAAAACUGCCCUUUGGGUAGAUCUCCCACCCUUUGUUUACCUUACCUUUGUUGCUUUGGCAGGCCCGUCUUCUGACUACCGGCUUUUAGCUGGUCCGUGCCUGCCAGAGGACCCCCAACUCUUGAUUUCAAGUUGUCCGAGUCUUAUAUAAUAGUAAAAACUUUCAGCAACGGAUCUCAGAUCGGAAGAGCAC
RNAcentral lists this unclassified non-coding RNA (240 nucleotides) under soil metagenome. RNAcentral describes it as "partial contains 5.8S ribosomal RNA, internal transcribed spacer 2, and large subunit ribosomal RNA". The record is from RNAcentral.